CUUUGGACGAAUCCUCUGCCGAUAGAUAUUCGGUUAUGACGCGAGAGUAAUGAAAGUGAAGGUAAACGUGAACUCGAUGUCGAUGAGAAUCCGGGUCAAGCUCAAAAUCCGUACCGGUGUGUAGAUCGGAGCCAUUCACUUACAUGGUAGAAAACGCGUCGUCUCUCUUCGACCACCUCUAUCCUUCUCCGGUAAUCAAUAGCGCUUGGUUCCGCAACAAGUAGUACAUGUCGACCGUGCAUAACAAAAUAUCGACAAAAAUAUCAAAAACCUGACCUUAUGAUCUUUAUCAUAUUUUCCUUUUCUCAGAUUUUUCUGGGAUCUUUAAAAAUAAUUCAAGGAGAUCGAAUUCUCCCUCUCCCUCUCCCUCUCCUUCUCCCUCUCUCUCUCUCUCUCUCUCUAAUAAACAUCGAUAUUGCAUGUAUAUAUAAAAUUCAACAACAACAACAAAAAAGAAGAAAUUAUAAAUAAAUAAAGAAAAUAAAGAAAAUUAAAAAUAGAUCGAGUUUGUUAUCAGACACUUGACGAAAAUAAUAAAAAAAAAAAACAACGAUUGAAGUUGGGACGAGAUGAUAAAUUUUUUAGAUCUAUCAUCAAAGCGAUAAAUAUAAAUAUUUUGAAAUAAACAUGCAAGGAAGAAUAGAUAAUGCGAUAUAUCGAGUUUGUUGUACCAUAGAAUCAUGGAGUUGAACGUUGAAUCGCCUUAGAGAAUACGUCGAGGGAGAAUGUCGUCGUCGUCGACGUCGACGACAACGACGACGCUUGCGCGAGAAUAACGAGCGAUUUCAUUCUCGUUUCCGUAGCAGCCACCUCGAUAGAUGGCCUUCGUUCGAACAACGAUGGACUAGCAAAAGGAUAAGAAAAAUUAUUUCGGAGAGGAUUUUUUUGUUAUUGGAAGAUGAUCUUUUCAAAAUAUAAACUUCUACCUUCUUAUACGAUCUAUAUGGAAUGACGAUCCUUAAUAUCGUUCGAGGCGAUCGAUUAUUUUGAAAAAUAUGUUGUUACGUCAAAAUGAUCGAUUAAAUGCAUCGGUCUUAAUAAUCGCUUGUGUAUUUGUGGACAAAGAAGACGAGAAUGUGCUAUGAUGACUGGCACGAUAACAUUGAGACGAUAACGAUGACGAUGGCGAUGAUAACGAUGAUCGAUAUACGUUAGUAAUAACAUAAAACACAACACAUCGACUUUAUUCAACACAAAUACUUUGCAAGAGGGUUAUGUGAUAUAGACGUUUCGUAGAUGAUGAAUAAUAAUAUUAAUUCAAUAUUCAUAUUUAUAUAUACACGAAAUAAGGCACGUUCGAUAUUUAAUAUUUAUAUCCGCGUGACGUAGAUCGUAUCGAAGGAAGACGAGCUUCGUCGCAACGUUCAAAUAUGUUCUAUAUAUUUUCUUGUCUUUUUGUUAUAACUUUUUCAUCUAACGCGAUAUGCAACAUCCUUACCAAAUGUAAAAAAUGUCGUAUGUAUAAUAUAUAUACAUAUACAUAUACUUUAUGUAUAUAUAUAUAAUAUAUGUAUAUAUCUAUCUGUAUAUAAAUGUCUUUUGAAUUACACGCACAAUCAAUCCAUUUACAUGUCGGCCCUUUUGUUAUAUCUCGUACAAAAAGAAAUAACUCUACUUUUUAUUCCUUUUUUAUUUUAAAAUUAUUUAAAACCUUUCGACCGAUUGAAGUCGCACUUUAUCGAUGAAAAUGGUCCGUGCGACUUUACGGAUUAUUCUCCUUUUUUUUUCCUCCUCCUCUCUUUUAUUUUUCCUUUCUUUAUUUUUCUUUUUUUUUUUCCUUUUUCUUCUUUUUUUCUUUUUCUCGGAUGAAGCGAAUGAAAAAGUUUUCGUCACGACUACCAUGGAGAAAUUACUAAUUACUUAGAUAUAAUUAAGCACUCGCCAAAAAUCGGACGAACACGGGCGAUACUCGCGCACUCUUUCUCUUUCUUUCUUUCACUCUUUUUUUUUUUCUUUUCUUUCCGUUCUUUUUUUUUCCCUUAACAUCCUCUUAAGUCAUUAUUCUUAUAAAUGCAUUUACUUGACCCCUUUUCUUCAGUUCAUUUUUUCACACGCACUCAUACACCCACAAUAAUAAUACGCAUACAUACUUCGUAUCGCUAAGUAUUACGACCGAUAAUCCUCGAAAUCGUAAAUACGAUCCUUCUCUCGAAAGUUAUCCUCGAUGAAUCUUAAAAUAUUGUCUCUUGAACGACAUACGGAGUUAUAAUUUACGAUAGUUAAUGAACAUUUGUUGGAUGUGUAGUAUAAAGGUUUAAACGCUCGUUAUUGUUUUUUUAAAUUAUAUAAAAAUCGAUAUGUAAGAACGAUAUCGUUUCUACCCAAUUCUGACGAAUGAAAACGAGAUCGCGGGAUAUGUAAUUGGUUCGUAGUUGAUUCUAAACGUAUGAUUUCUUGUUGUUUAGAUGAAAAAAUUUUAUACACGCAUACAAUAAAAAAAAAAGAAAAAAAAAAGAAAAAAAAAAGAAAGAGAAAACGA
Molecule: long non-coding RNA, 2479 nt
Organism: Vespa crabro (European hornet)
Lineage: Eukaryota; Metazoa; Arthropoda; Insecta; Hymenoptera; Vespidae
Exons: 2
Source: RefSeq, a predicted model, not a curated record